UAACGCGAAGAACCUUACCUGGCCUUGACAUGUCGAGAACUUUCCAGAGAUGGAUUGGUGCCUUCGGGAGCUUACAUACAGGUGCUGCAUGGCUGUCGUCAGCCCGUGUCGUGAGAUGUUGGGUUAAGUCCCGCAACGAGCGCAACCCUCGUUCUAUGUUGCCAGCACGUAAUGGUGGGAACUCAUGGGAUACUGCCGGGGUCAACUCGGAGGAAGGUGGGGAUGACGUCAAAUCAUCAUGCCCCUUAUGUCUUGGGCUUCACGCAUGCUACAAUGGCCGGUACAAAGGGCUGCAAUACCGCGAGGUGGAGCGAAUCCCAAAAAGCCGGUCCCAGUUCGGAUUGAGGUCUGCAACUCGACCUCAUGAAGUCGGAGUCGCUAGUAAUCGCAGAUCAGCAACGCUGCGGUGAAUACGUUCCCGGGCCUUGUACACAC
Molecule: ribosomal RNA, 435 nt
Filed under: uncultured Microbacterium sp.
Lineage: Bacteria; Bacillati; Actinomycetota; Actinomycetes; Micrococcales; Microbacteriaceae
Description: bacterial SSU rRNA
Rfam family: Bacterial small subunit ribosomal RNA
Source: RNAcentral